Molecule: long non-coding RNA, 220 nt
Filed under: Lathyrus oleraceus (garden pea)
Lineage: Eukaryota; Viridiplantae; Streptophyta; Magnoliopsida; Fabales; Fabaceae
Description: Pisum sativum (pea) long non-coding RNA (PSAT_LNC035987)
Source: RNAcentral
UAAAAGUCAUAAAUUAAUUAUAAAAAAAAAGUUAAGACCAUAAAUAAUAUUUGUCUAAAAAUACAAAAAAAAAUACAUCCAAAUAUAACUUUCUGGGUAUGUCUAAACCCAUGCCUUCUCCUCCGCAUGUAUUGCACGACAUUCUGUAACUCGAUAAUCAUGUUCUUUACGAAGGCCAACUAGGGAUUGUCAUCCUCAAAGAGUCAUGCCUCUAUGUCCG